Molecule: ribosomal RNA, 1150 nt
Filed under: uncultured organism
Description: bacterial SSU rRNA
Rfam family: Bacterial small subunit ribosomal RNA
Source: RNAcentral
CGGCCUGAGAGGGUGGUCGGCCACACUGGGACUGAGAUACGGCCCAGACUCCUACGGGAGGCAGCAGUAAGGAAUAUUGCGCAAUGGUCGCAAGACUGACGCAGCAACGCCGCGUGGAUGAUGAAGCUCUAUGGAGUGUAAAGUCCUGUUAGAAGGGAAGAACAGUACGGAGUCAAAGCUUCGUGCAUGACGGUACCUUCAGAGAAAGCCCCGGCUAACUCCGUGCCAGCAGCCGCGGUAAUACGGGGGGGGCAAGCGUUGUCCGGAAUUACUGGGCGUAAAGGGCGCGUAGGUGGAAUUGUAAGUUAGAGGUGAAAGCCAGCAGCUUAACUGCUGGUCUGCCUUUAAUUCUACAUCGCGUAAAUGCGAAAGAGGGAAGCGGAAUUCUUGGUGUAGCGGUGAAAUGCGUAGAUAUCAAGAAGAACACCGGUAGCGUAGGCGGCUUCCUGGUUCGUAACUGACACUGAGGCGCGAAAGUGUGGGGAGCAAACAGGAUUAGAUACCCUGGUAGUCCACACCGUAAACGAUGGAUACUAGGUGUUGGGUUUCACGACUCAGUGCCGAAGUUAACGCAUUAAGUAUCCCGCCUGGGGAGUACGAUCGCAAGGUUGAAACUCAAAGGAAUUGACGGGGGCCCGCACAAGCGGUGGAGCAUGUGGUUUAAUUCGAUGCAACGCGAAGAACCUUACCGGGGUUUGAAAUGCAGUUGCUCUCCGUUGAAAGACGGAUUUCCUUCGGGACAACUGUACAGGUGCUGCAUGGCUGUCGUCAGCUCGUGCCGUGAGGUGUUGGGUUAAGUCCCGCAGCGAGCGCAACCCUUGUCCUUAGUUGCUAUCAGGUCAAGCUGAGAACUCUAAGGAGACUGCCUCGGAUAACGAGGAGGAAGGUGGGGAUGACGUCAAGUCCUCAUGGCCCUUACAUCCCGGGCUACACACGUGCUACAAUGGCCAGUACAACGGGAAGCGAUACCGUGAGGUGGAGCAAAUCCCUUAAAACUGGUCUCAGUUCGGAUUGUAGUCUGCAACUCGACUACAUGAAGUUGGAAUCGCUAGUAAUCGCGGAUCAGCAUGCCGCGGUGAUACGUUCCCGGGCCUUGUACACACCGCCCGUCACGCCAUGGGAGUUGAUAGCACCCGAAGUCGCCGGGCUA